UAUCGAACGUGUCGCGAUUUUUUUUUAUGGUCGUAGGUGGUCUUGCACGUGCCACAUUGACGAGGAGGUGGGAGCCGAUGAUAGCGAUAGCGCUCGUCGGGCAUAUUGUUCGGUUAAAUGUUCCACUCGAUACUGAUGAUCGGCGGUGCUCGUUUCAGUUUUUACCGGUGUAAGGUGAAAGGGUUGUGGAACAAUAAAUAUGGAAGACACAUUGAAAGGUUGGGGACUUCCGGAGUCCGUUAGAAAAGUAUUGAAAGGAUACGGCAAACAGGUCGUAUGGGGUGGAAAAAAUUCGUCAGAUAAUGUGACGCGGUGGCAACUGCGAACGAGGAUAAACACAGACAGGAAGAUGCCACGCCACCACACACGUGUCGCGGCUUCUCUCUCGCAUCUGUCGCGGUUAUUCUCACCUUUCGUCCCGAUUCGGAUCGAACAGCGAUUUCCUGCUUCGCACCCGCCCACGACUAUUAUAAAAAUCUGCGAAGUUUCUGAAACGUUUCGAUUUUGGCACACCACGAGCCAAAGGAUAUUUUUACAAUUUGAUCCCACGAAAAUGUCCGUCCGUAUGCGAAUUGGGGCGUCAAAAUGGUUGACAAAUGGACGACAAUUAUUAUAAAGUGAGGAUACACCCUGUAUAAAGUGUGUGCGCGAAUGUUUGUGCCA
Long non-coding RNA from Cylas formicarius (sweet potato weevil), 663 nucleotides. RefSeq lists it as uncharacterized. The transcript has 3 exons. NCBI's taxonomy places the organism in Eukaryota, Metazoa, Arthropoda, Insecta, Coleoptera, Brentidae. The record is from RefSeq and is a predicted model, not a curated record.